Molecule: ribosomal RNA, 377 nt
Filed under: uncultured bacterium
Lineage: Bacteria
Description: bacterial SSU rRNA
Rfam family: Bacterial small subunit ribosomal RNA
Source: RNAcentral
ACCAGACUCCUACGGGAGGCAGCAGUGGGGGAUAUUGCACAAUGGGGGAAACCCUGAUGCAGCGACGCCGCGUGAGUGAAGAAGUAUUUCGUUACGUAAAGCUCUAUCAGCAGGGAAGAAAAUGACGGUACCUGACUAAGAAGCCCCGGCUAACUACGUGCCAGCAGCCGCGGUAAUACGUAGGGGGCAAGCGUUAUCCGGAAUUACUGGGUGUAAAGGGAGCGCAGACGGCAGUGCAAGUCUGGAGUGAAAGCCCGUGGCUUAACCACGGGACUGCUCUGGAAACUGUGCAGCUAGAGUGCAGGAGAGGCAGGCGGAAUUCCUAGUGUAGCGGUGAAAUGCGUAGAUAUUAGGAGGAGCACCGGUGGCGAAGGCGG